UAGUUCAGUUGGUAGAGCACAAGGCUUCCAACCUUCUGGUCGUGGGUUCUCAAGCCCCAC
This is a non-coding RNA of Zea mays, 60 nucleotides long. The record is from Rfam. Lineage: Eukaryota; Viridiplantae; Streptophyta; Magnoliopsida; Poales; Poaceae.